RNAcentral lists this long non-coding RNA (813 nucleotides) under Numida meleagris (helmeted guineafowl). Its description in RNAcentral is "lncRNA (ENSNMEG00000010865.1)". Lineage: Eukaryota; Metazoa; Chordata; Aves; Galliformes; Numididae. The record is from RNAcentral.
UGAUACACCGUGUGACCUUAGCAGAAUUGCUCAAAUUUAGCAAUGAAACUGAUAGAUUUACAUGAUGCAUAUGCAGCAAGACUCUUUGUCUUCAUGUCCUUGUGCUCAUUAUAAAAGUAUGGACGCAGAGCAUGGUUUAUAGAGUGAUGAUAAAAUAUACCAUGGCACCUGGGCUCCCUGCAGAGCUCUGAAGAUUUAUCUGUCUUUAGAUGAGGUACUGUACAGGGAUGGCUCACUCCCAUUGCUGCACAGGUGAACUUAAAGCUAGACUUGAAAGGAUCACUCAUCUGGAGAGAAGAAUAAUUUAGUCUUUACCCAUUCCAGAGUCCUCCCAUGCUUGUUUUUUAAUAAAGGACAUCAGUUUACAUAGCUGUGCUGAACUGUGGGUUUUUUUUGUUUAGUCAUUUAAACUACGUGCAUUAGGAUGCCUAAUGAUAAUUUUAUCUCUGCAGAAGCCCGGCUCGAGUUGAGCAGAGCAUGUCUACUCUUUGCACUUAUGUCCAGAGGAAGAAGACCUUGAAAAAAGAUCUCUUCAGUUUAAGGAUAUACGUGAUGCAGUAAAAAGAGUGCCUGCUGAACUUUAAGCUGCUAUGGUUGAUUUCAAAACCACGAACACCAAACCUGUACAACUAGGAAGAUCCUAUGGGCUCUGUUAAAAAAUCUCACUCCUAAGCUACUUCAGAAUUUAGGAGAUCAUACUCCGAACUGCCAAGCUCUUGAGUACUUGCGAAAUUGUAUUCCCUCUCAAAAUUACAGAUGUUGUGAUGAUCUAAAGAACAAACAUUUCUGCUUUCCACCAGGCACAAUAGAAAA